UAUUGACGAGAAGAGUGAAAGCAGAGGAACUGCUGAAUUGUUUGGUGCUCUAAGGGGUCGUCUAGGUGACAGCAACAAAAAUUUAGUCAUGGCAACAUUGACAUGCAUUGGCAAUGUUGCAUGCGCAAUGGGUCCAGCUGUUGAGAAAGCAAGCAAGGGCAUUUUAGCGGAUGUUUUGAAAUGUUUGGGUGACAAUAAAAAGCAUAUGAGGGAAUGCACAUUGAAUACUUUAGAUUCUUGGCUCUCUGCUGUUCAUCUUGAUAAAAUGGUUCCUUACAUUGCAGCAGCUUGGACAGAUGCAAAACUUGGU
Humulus lupulus (European hop) is the source of this 310-nucleotide long non-coding RNA. RefSeq lists it as uncharacterized. Lineage: Eukaryota; Viridiplantae; Streptophyta; Magnoliopsida; Rosales; Cannabaceae. The transcript has 4 exons. The record is from RefSeq and is a predicted model, not a curated record.